UACGUAGGGUGCAAGCGUUAAUCGGAAUUACUGGGCGUAAAACGCUUGUAGGUGGCCACGCCAAGUCGGAUGUGAAAUCUCCCGGCUUAACUGGGAGGGGUCAUGCGAUACUGGCGGGCUCGAGGCAGGUAGGGGGAAGCGGAAUUCCCGGUGUAGUGGUGGAAUGCGUAGAUAUCGGGAGGAACACCAGUGGCGAAGGCGGCUUCCUGGACCUGUUCUGACGCUGAGGAGCGAAAGCGUGGGGAGCGAUCCGG
RNAcentral lists this ribosomal RNA (254 nucleotides) under uncultured bacterium. RNAcentral describes it as "partial 16S ribosomal RNA". It matches the Rfam family "Bacterial small subunit ribosomal RNA", at positions 524 to 776 of the family's 1533-position model. The record is from RNAcentral.